This 369-nucleotide ribosomal RNA is filed under the name uncultured bacterium. RNAcentral's name for it is "bacterial SSU rRNA". It matches the Rfam family "Bacterial small subunit ribosomal RNA", at positions 527 to 895 of the family's 1533-position model. The record is from RNAcentral.
GUAGGUCACAAGCGUUGUCCGGAAUUACUGGGUGUAAAGGGAGCGCAGGCGGGAAGACAAGUUGGAAGUGAAAUCUAUGGGCUCAACCCAUAAACUGCUUUCAAAACUGUUUUUCUUGAGUAGUGCAGAGGUAGGCGGAAUUCCCGGUGUAGCGGUGGAAUGCGUAGAUAUCGGGAGGAAUACCAGUGGCGAAGGCGGCCUACUGGGCACCAACUGACGCUGAGGCUCGAAAGUGUGGGUAGCAAACAGGAUUAGAUACCCUGGUAGUCCACACCGUAAACGAUGAUUACUAGGUGUUGGAGGAUUGACCCCUUCAGUGCCGCAGUUAACACAAUAAGUAAUCCACCUGGGGAGUACGACCGCAAGGUG